Molecule: ribosomal RNA, 403 nt
Filed under: uncultured bacterium
Lineage: Bacteria
Description: partial 16S ribosomal RNA
Rfam family: Bacterial small subunit ribosomal RNA
Source: RNAcentral
AUUGAACGCUGGCGGCAGGCCUAACACAUGCAAGUCGAGCGAGCGGCGGACGGGUGAGUAAUGUAUGGGGACUGCCCGAUAGAGGGGGAUAACUACUGGAAACGGUAGCUAAUACCGCAUACUAUCGGAUAACCCAUAUGGGAUUAGCUAGUAGGUGUGGUAAUGGCUCACCUAGGCGACGAUCGCUAGCUGGUCUGAGAGGAUGAUCGGCGACAGUGGGACGGAGACACGGCCCAGACUGCUACGGAGGCAGCAGUGGGGAAUAUUGGGCAAUGGGCGCAAGGCUGAUGCGGCCAUGCGGCGGGUAUGAAGAAGGCCGUAGGGUGGUAGGGUACUGUGGGUGGGGAGGCGUUAGCGGCAGAGGAAGCACCGGCUAAGGGCGGGCCAGCAGCCGCGGUAAUAC